CUUCUUACAGUGUCUCCAAUACUUUCUGAGUCUCUUCAGUGGAAGUAUAAAAAUAAUGCUGGGAAUUUAGACACUAGCUCUGCUGCUCACUUGCUAUGGGAAUUAGUUGAGUCUCUUUCUUUCUCUGGACCUCAGUUUAUUUACUUAAAAAAUGGAGCUAAUGGCCAUUCUGAACUCAACCUCAUAGACUGCAUUGCAGAAAAAGAAGAAGAGAUCAACUAAAUUUGCCAAACAGGAAGAAAGACUCCAGAGACAAUGUGAUGUUUAUAGGACCAAAUAGGCUAGGUAUAGAGGUUAGGAUGGGCUUGGCAGGUUGAAGGAUUAGCAAGUUAACUAAUGCAGAUGUAGCUGACAAGUAGGGUACGCGGAGAGAAGUGAUAGGAGAUGAGACUUGAAAGGAAGCUUUAGGCCUGUCUCUGAAGGGCUUUAAAUGCUUGUAGACCACUGGUGCUUAAGAACCAGAGGUGACAUGGUUAGUGUAGAGGAACUGCUGUCAAAUUUUUUGGUCUCAGGACCACUUUAAACUCUUAAAAAUGAUUGAGGACCUCAAAGAGGCUUUGUUUUUGUGGUUUAUAUCUAUUGAUGUCUACCAAAUUGCAAAUUAAAACUGAGAAUUUUUUGAAAAUUAAUUAACAAUUAACAAUAAUAGGUCAAUGAUGUGUUAACAUAUAAAACAUUUUUUGUGGAGAAUAUCUAUAUUUUUCAAAAAUACGAGAUAGUAAAAUAAAUGUUAUUAUCUUUGAAUUUUCAAAACUGGAUUAUUGGGCUUAAUAGAAAAUAACCAGAUUCUUGUAGCUGCUUCUGCAUUCAAUCUGCUAGGAUAUACUGUUUUGUUUGAAGAAAAUGAAGAAAAUCUGGCCACACACAUUAGUGCUAUAAAUUUCCCUUUUAACACUGUUUUAGCUGUGUCCCAGAGAUUCUGGUAUAUUGUCUCUUUUUUCUCAUUGGUUUCAAAUAACUUAUUUAUUUCUGCCUUAAUUUUGUUAUUUACCCAGUAGUCAUUCAGGAGUGGGUUAUUUAAUUUCCACGUAGUUGUGAGGUUCUGAGUGAGUUUCUUAAUCCUGAGUUCUAAUUUGAUUGCACUGUGGUCUAAGAGACUGUUAUGAUUUCAGUUGUUUUACAUUUGCUGAGGAGUGUUUUACUUCCAAUUAUGUGGUUGAUUUUAGAAUAAGUGUGAUGUGGCACUGAGAAGAAUGUAUAUUCUGUUGAUUUGGGGCGGAGAGUUCUGUAGAUGUUUAUUAGGUCCACUUGGUCCAGAGCUGAGUUCAAGUCCUGAAUAUCUUUAUUACUUUUUUGCCUCGUUGAUCUGUCUAAUAUUGACAGUGAGGUGUUAAAGUCUCCCACUAUUAUUUUGUGGGAGUCUAAGUCUCUUUGUAGGUCUCUAAGAAGUUGUUGUAUGAAUCUGAGUGCUCCUGUAUCGGGUGCAUAUAUAUUUAGGAUAGUUAGCUCUUCUUGUUGCAUUGAUCCCUUUACCACUAUGUAAUGCCCGUUUUUGUCUUUUUUGAUCUUUGUUGGUUUAAAGUCUGUUUUAUCAGAGACUAGGAUUGCAACCCCUGCUCUUAUUUGCUUUCCAUUUGCUGGGUGAAUAUUCCUCCCUUCCUUUAUUUUGAGCCUAUGUGUCUUUGCACGUGAGAUGGGUCUCCUGAAUGUAGCACACCAAUGGGUCUUGACUUUUUAUCCAAUUUGGCAGUCUGUGUCUUUUAAUUGGGGCAUUUAGCCCAUUUGCAUUUAAGGUUAAUAUUGUUAUGUGUGAAUUUGAUUCUGUCAUCAUGAUGCUAUCUGGUUAUUUUGCACAUUAGUUGAUGCGGUUUCUUCAUAGUGUCAUUGGUCUUUAUAUUUUGGUAUGUUUUUGCAGUGGCUGCUACUGGUUUUUCUUUUCCAUAUUUAGUGCUUCCUUCAGGAGCUCUUGUAAGGCAGGCCUGGUGGUGACAAAAUCCCUCAGCAUUUGUUUUUUUGUAAAUGAUUUUAUUUCUCCUUUGCUUAUGAAGCUUAGUUUGGCUGGAUAUGAAAUUCUGGGUUGAAAAUUAUUUUCUUUAAGAAUGUUGAAUAUUGGCCCCUGCUUUCUUCUAGCUUGUAAGGAUUCUUCAGAGAGAUCUGCUGUUAGUCUGAUCCUACUUGGGAAAUCCUCCUAGAUAUUUGAAAGGACUUGGAUAUUGGGAUAAAAGCUGUAUCUACUUUAGGGGGCACCCCAAGCUCAGUAAUGCUGUGGUUCUUGCAGACUCAUAGAGGUACCACCUUGAUGAUCUUGGAAACAAUCUGGGGCAAUUAUCUGGAUUGCUAGGCAGAGACUCUUGUUCUCUUCCCUUACUUUCUCCCAAUCAAAUGGAGUCUUUCUCUCUGUUCUGAGCCUUCUAAAUUUGGGGUUGAAGUGACACAAGCACCUCUGUCACCACCACCACUACGAAUGCACUAAGUCAGAUCUCAAGCCAGCACAGCUCUGGGUCUUGUCCAAGGCCUGCUCUUACCACUUCCUGGCUACCACCUAUGUUUGCUCAAAGUCCUGGGGCUCUAUCACCAGCAGGUGGCAAAACUAGCCGGGCCUGUGUUCUUCCCUUCAGGGUGAUGAAGUUCCCAAGGCCCCAGGUGGGUCCAGAGGUGCUGUCCGGCAGUCAGUGGCUAGAGUCAAAAACCUUAGAAAUCUACCUGGUGUUCUAUUGUACUGCAACUGAGCUGGCCCUCAAACAAGACACAGCUCUUCCCACUUUUUUCUCCCCUCUGCAAAGGCAGAGGAGCCUCAUCCUGCGGCCACUGCCACCACAUGGCCAUGCGGAGUACUGCCAGACUACUGCUGAUACUCCCUUUAGUCCCAAGGGCUCCCAAGUCAGCUUGUGGUGAAUGUUGCCUGGCCUGAGACUCACCGUUCAGGGCAGUAGACUCCCCUGUGGCCCAAGACAGGUCCAGAAAUGCCAUGCCAGAGUCAAGUACUGGAAUCGGGGACCACAAGAACCUGUUUGAUGUUCUACCCCCUUGUGGCCAAGUUUGUACCAAAGGUGGAAGACAAAGUCCACUUUACUUUUCCCUCUAGUUUUCUCAAGCAGAAGGAGUUUCACUCUGUAGUCACCAGAGCUGAGAAUGUGCUGAGUCUCACCUGAAACCAGCAAGUCUCAGAGGCUCUCCCAAAGCCCUCAACCUAGUAUCUGGGUAGUGCUGCUGGUUAUUCAGGGCCCAAGGGCUCUUCAGUUAGCAGGUGAUGAAUGCUGCCAGGACUGGGUUCUUCCCUUCAAGGCAGUGAGUUCCCUUCUGGCCGAGGGCAUGUCUAGAAAUGUCAUCCGGGAGGCAGGGUCUGGAAAGGGGACUUCAGGACUCUGACUGGUGCCCUAUCCUGCUGUGCCUAAGCUGCUAUCUGAUUCAAGACAAAGCUCUCCCCAUUCUUCCCUCUCCUCAAGCAGAAGUAAGGGCAGUCUUUUGGAGCCAUGAGCUGUGCAGCCUGGGGUUAAAGGACAGUGAUGCCAGCACUUUCUUUCUUUCUUUUCUCUUCUUUUCUUUUUUUUUUUAGCUGGAGUCUCCCUCUGUCACCCUGGCUGGAGUGCAGUCACGCAAUCUCAGCUCACUGCAUCCUCUGCCUCCCAGGUUCAAGCAAUUCUCCUGCCUUAGCCUCCUGAAUAGCUGGGAUUACAGGCAUGCACCACCAUGCCUAAUUUUUGUACUGAUGCCAGCACUUUCUUAGCAACCCCAGCUGGUGUCCUAGUAUGCCCCCUCCAGUCCACUGUCUCUGGGCCCAGUUCAGCGCUAGGACUUGCUUAAGAGUUUCAGUCCUUGUAGCCUAUACUGCCUUUCACGUUUAUUUAGAGAUCUAGAGCACUUUAACCCUCAGUGGCAAGGUUUGUGGGAACUUGAGUUCGGACCACUGGGAUUGGCAAUUCCCCUCUGGCUAGGGUUGCUUUAAAUGCUCCCUUCACGUGUGGGCAUCAGCUGAGUUUGGUCCAGUUUUCCUUUCUGCUCUAACAGGACAGCACUGAGUUGAAUGCCUCACAAUUGCUGUGCUCUCUCUCCUCCGGCACACAGAAAUGCUCUCUGCAUCAUGCUGCUUCUGUCAGGGGUGGUGCCAGCAAUUCAAGACCUUUUUUUUCUGUCUCUUCAGUGCCUCUUUCAGUGAUAUGAAGUUAAAACGAGGUACUAUACUAUGAGUGCUCACCUGAUUUUUGGUUCUCAUGAAGGUGCUUUUUUUGUGUAGAUACUUGUUAAAUUUGUGUCCUUCUUGUUGUGAAGAUCGGUAGAGCCUUCUAUUCUACCAUCUUGCUCUGCCUCCUGAUUCUGAAGCUUGAUUCCUUUUUCUCUUUGUAACUUCAAAAAUAUUGAACUUUCCUCAGGGCUCAAUUCUGGGCCCCUUCUACCUCUUCUAUAAACAAUCUUCCCAAGGACUUCUUACACACUCAUGGCUUUAAACAGCCCUUUUUUUUUGCCAACAACUCUUAUCGGGGAUCCUACCCCAUUAUUCGUGUAGGUUCUUUCUAUUUUCCCUAAGCGUUGGCCAGCUUGAGAAAUAAAGGGACAGAGUACAAAAGAGAGAAAUUUUAAAGCUGGGCAUCCGGGGGAGACAUCACAUGUCGGUAGGUUCUGUGAUGUCCCACAAGCCACAAAAACCAGCAAGUUUUUAUUAGGGAGUUUCAAAAGGGGAGGGAGUGUGCGAAUAGGUGUGGGUCAGACAUCAAGUACUUUACAAGGUAAUAGAAUAUCACAAGGCAAGUGGAGGCAGGGCGAGAUCACAGGACCACAGGACUGAGGCAAAAUUAAAAUUGCUAAUGAAGUUUCGGGCACCAUUGUCAUUGAUAACAUCUUAUCAGGAGACAGGGUUUUGAGAUCAACGGGUCUGACCAAAAUUUAUUAGGCGGGAAUUUCCUCUUCCUAAUAAGCCUGGGAGCACUAUGGGAGACUGGAGUCUGUUUCACCUCUGCAGUCUCGACCAUAAGAGAUGACCAUGCCCAGGAGGGCCAGUUUAGAGACCCACCCCCAGGUGUGCAUUCUCUUUCUCAGGGAUGUUCCAUGCUGAGAAAAAGAAUUCAGUGAUAUUUCUGCCAUUUGCUUUUGAAAGAAGAGAAAUAUGGCUCUGUUCCACCUGGCUCACCAGCGGUCAGAGUUUAAGGUUAUCUCCCUUAUUCCCUGAACAAUUGCUGUUAUCCUGUUCUUUUUUCAAGGUGCCCACAUUUCAUAUUGCUCAAACACACAUGCUGUACAAUUUGUGCAGUUAAUGCAAUUAUUACAGGGUCCUGAGGCAAUAUACAUCCUCCUCAGCUGACAGGAUUAAGAGAUUAAAGUAAAGACAGGCAUAGGAAAUAACAAGGGUAUUGAUUGGGGAAGUGAUAAGUGUCCAUGAAAUCUUUACAAUUUAUGUUUAGAGACUGUAGUAAAGACAGGCAUAAGAAAUUACAAAAUUAUUAAUUUGGGGAACUAAUAAAUGUCCAUGAAAUCUUCACAAUCUACAUUCUUCUGCCAUGGCUUCAGCCGGUCCCUCCAUUUGGGGUCCCUGACUUCCCGCAACAAACUCUCCAAUUUCUCUCUCUAGCUCAUUCUUAUCUUCUGAGCUUCAGCUAUACUAAUUCAACUACCUGCUUGACAUCUCCAUCUCAUUGUCUCCCUGACAUCUCAAACUCAACAUAUUCAAAACUAAGCUCUUGAUUUAUUCUUUACUCUCCUAGCCCAAAUCUACUCUUCCUUUAUCUUUCUUAUCUCAGGAAAUGGUAGCUCCAUCAACCUAAUGGUUCAUUCCAAGAGCCCUGGAGACCAUCUGGACAUUUUCCUCUCUCUCAUUCACCACUUCUUUUCACGCAAAGUCUAUUUAAAAAAUGUGCACUCUGUCCUUCCCAUGGCUAUCAUUUAAGCCUAAGCAAUCACCAUCUCUUGCCUGAACUAUUUUAAUAGCCUCCUAACUGGUCUCUUCAUUUUCUCUCAUCUCAUCCUAUUAUAAACUCACCACAGGGCAACCAGAUUGACCUUUUAAAAAUGUAAAUCAGAUCAUACCACUCCCCUGUUUAAAUCUUUUAAUGGUUUCCCAUUUCACUUGAAAUCCAAAUCCCUUAAGAUGGCCUACAAAGUUCUGCACUAUCUCCAGAGAUUAUCUCUCUAAACUCAUCUCACGACCUUAUUUUCCUCAUACUCAAACUCCAGCUACACUGGCCUUCUUCCUUUUCCUCAAACAUCCUAUUCUCCUGUUUCCCUCUCAAGAUCUUAGCACACAUCCUUUUGACUUGGACACUUUCCCUCUAUUUCUUUGCAUGUGUCACUUCUUAUCUUUCAGCUGUCUGGUUAAAUGUGAAUUUCCCAGAGAAUCUUGCCUCGAGGCCCCAAACUAAGCCAGGCAAUUUCCUCAUUGUGAUCUAUCAUGCCAUUAUUUACUUAAUAAUGCUUUUCAUAAUCUAUAAUUAUGCUUUCAAUUUUGUGAUUAUUUAUUUAACAUCUAUCUCCCUCCAAGUGCUGUGAAGAGAGUUCCACCCACCAAGGGAGAUGGACUUCAAGGAAGUUUCUCUGUGUUCUACUUUAAGUCAGUUGACUUGUUACAGAAUCUCUACAAUCUUCACUUUCUAUUUCUAUAGAGAACCAUGUCUAGCUCAGACUACCUCUUCCCUCCUGCCCCUGCCAAGCAAUGUGUCACUGGAAUUGAAUAGUCACAAUUACUUUGGGUUUCAGAAAA
This 6628-nucleotide long non-coding RNA is filed under the name Homo sapiens (human). RNAcentral describes it as "HSALNT0407767". The record is from RNAcentral. Lineage: Eukaryota; Metazoa; Chordata; Mammalia; Primates; Hominidae.